UUUCGAAUCAUUCACAAUGGGCGAAAGCCUGAUGGUGCGACGCCGCGUGAGGGAUGAAGGCCUUCGGGUUGUAAACCUCUGUCACCGGGGAAGAAACGCUUCAAGUUAACAGCUUGAAGCCUGACUUAACCCGGAGAGGAAGCAGUGGCUAACUCUGUGCCAGCAGCCGCGGUAAUACAGAGACUGCAAGCGUUAUUCGGAUUCACUGGGCGUAAAGGGUGCGCAGGCGGCCGGGUGUGUCAGAUGUGAAAUCCCGAGGCUUAACCUCGGAACUGCGUCUGAAACUACUCGGCUAGAGUAUUGGAGAGGGUAACGGAAUUCACGGUGUAGCAGUGAAAUGCGUAGAUAUCGUGAGGAACACCAGAGGCGAAGGCGGUUACCUGGACAAUUACUGACGCUCAGGCACGAAAGCAUGGGGAGCAAAAGGGAUUAGAUACCCCUGUAGUCCCUGAGCGGGCUGGCAAGGCGCAU
This 471-nucleotide ribosomal RNA is filed under the name uncultured bacterium. RNAcentral describes it as "bacterial SSU rRNA". It matches the Rfam family "Bacterial small subunit ribosomal RNA", at positions 355 to 825 of the family's 1533-position model. The record is from RNAcentral.